GGAAUCUUGCGCAAUGGGCGAAAGCCUGACGCAGCAACGCCGCGUGGGGGAUGAAGGCUUUCGGGUUGUAAACCACUUUCAGGAGGGAAGAAAUUGACGGUACCCCCAAAAGAAGGACCGGCCAACUACGUGACAGCAGCCGCGGUAAUACGUAGGGUCCUCGCGUUAUCCGGAAUCAUUGGGCGUAAAGAGCUCGUAGGCGGUUCAGCAAGUCGGCUGUGAAAGUCCGAGGCUCAACCUCGGAAUUGCAGUCGAUACUGCUGUGACUCGAGUCCGGUAGAGGAGAAUGGAAUUCUCGGUGUAGCGGUGAAAUGCGCAGAUAUCGAGAGGAACACCAGUAGCGAAGGCGGUUCUCUGGGCCGGCACUGACGCUGAGGAGCGAAAGCGUGGGGAGCAAA
RNAcentral lists this ribosomal RNA (398 nucleotides) under uncultured bacterium. RNAcentral describes it as "bacterial SSU rRNA". It matches the Rfam family "Bacterial small subunit ribosomal RNA", at positions 358 to 772 of the family's 1533-position model. The record is from RNAcentral.